UGUAAAAUAAGUUAACAAAACUGUUGGGCUCAUGUCCCAAAUAUAGAAAUGAAAACUUUCUUUUUACCC
RNAcentral lists this transfer RNA (69 nucleotides) under Ophiura albida. RNAcentral's name for it is "transfer RNA-Met". Lineage: Eukaryota; Metazoa; Echinodermata; Ophiuroidea; Amphilepidida; Ophiuridae. RNAcentral also lists the same sequence under 1 other name. The record is from RNAcentral.